This 69-nucleotide small nucleolar RNA is filed under the name Microcebus murinus (gray mouse lemur). Its description in RNAcentral is "Small nucleolar RNA SNORD113/SNORD114 family (ENSMICG00000024327.3)". It matches the Rfam family "Small nucleolar RNA SNORD113/SNORD114 family". From Rfam's summary of the family: The imprinted human domain at 14q32 contains two clusters of tandemly repeated small nucleolar RNAs named 14q(I) and 14q(II) snoRNAs. These two clusters are named SNORD113 and SNORD114 respectively in the HGNC approved gene symbol nomenclature. The snoRNAs found in both clusters are clearly related and are represented here by a single family. Lineage: Eukaryota; Metazoa; Chordata; Mammalia; Primates; Cheirogaleidae. The record is from Rfam by way of RNAcentral.
UGGACUGAUGAUGACAGCGGCUGGGGUAUGAAUCUUGGAUGAUGAAUAAUCUGGAACUCUGAAGUCCAA